AUGCCAUUGUGUGAUUCUGCCCACUCUGCCUGUGUCUCUCGCACAUUUCUACGUUCUUGGAGAUGCCACCCCAAGCUUAUCUUCACUGAGGAAACACUAGGCUUGAAACGGACGGAAGCAAGGGAUUUCACUAGCAGAGUUAAUCAAAUUCUGAAAAAUCACUCAGACACCGGUGUGAAGAUACUCGAGUUUGUAUUCGAUGAUCGUAACAAUGUCAACACAUGUCAUCUAAAUAGUUGGCUCCAGAAAGCUGUCACGCCAGGGAUUGAAAAAAUCACCCUUUUUCUGCCUUGGCGAUAUAGGGAAGAGUACAACUUCCCAUGCUCAAUUUUACUUGAUGGGCGUGGAAACUCAAUUUGGUAUCUUGACCUCACCAAUUGUGCCUUCCAUCCCAUGGUUGGAUUUGAUUGCUUGAGAAGCCUGACAAAGCUGCGUCUCUAUGGAGUUUGUAUCACGGGGGAUGAGUUAGGGCAUCUUAUUUCCAAUUGUUUUGCUUUGGAGGAGUUGCAAGUCUGGUGUUGCAUGGAGCUAAUCUGCUCGACGAUACCAUUCUGGCUGCAGCGGCUUAGUUGUUUGACUGUGUCAGAGUGCGAUAUGCUGCGAGUGAUAGAGAGCACAGCUCCAAACCUCACCACUUUAGACUUCUUUGGUGAACCAGUACAACUCGUGCUUAGAGAAUCAUCAAAGGUCAAACACUUGAAGGUGGGGUAUUCAUAUACGCCCAAUGCUGUAAGUUAUGCUAUCACUAAGCUACCUUCUAUUGCACCACAUCUUAAGACUCUUGCCAUAUACUCGUCUUCUGAGACGGUUAAUACCCCAAUGGUAGCUGACAAAUUCCUUGCCAUAAAGCACUUGAAUAUUCACCUUGGUGAGGAUUAUGAUGAUGCUGUUACCCCAACCUAUGAUUAUUUAUCCUUGGCUUCGUUUCUGGAUGCUUGUCCUGUCCUGGAGAGUUUCAACUUAAGUGUGGAUCAGAGUGACAUGCAGCAUGAUUCGGUUUUUGGGGAUCCCUCCUUAGGUUUGAGGCAGAUUCUUCAACACAAGCAUGAGAGGCUCAAGAAGGUCCAGAUCAUUGGCUUCUGCUCUGCAAAGAGCAUGGUUGAGCUAACAUGUGAUAUUCUCAAGAAUGCAACAUCACUUGAGAGCCUCACACUGGACUGUAUAUAUGGUGCGGGUACGGGGGCGAUCAGUGAUUCUGUUAGGUGUGGUCCCUCAAGAUCCGGUAAAUGCUGGAUCAGAAGCCAAGCUAUGAUCUUGGAAGCACAUAAAGCAGUCGGUGCCAUCAAAAGAUACAUCCUGGAGAGAGUUCCCCCUGCAGUCAAGUUAAAUGUUGGGGGGCCUUGUAGCCAGUGCCAAGCUAUGGAUGUGAUGCUACCGCAAUUAUCCAGUGUUUAG
This 1395-nucleotide ribosomal RNA is filed under the name Triticum aestivum (bread wheat). Its description in RNAcentral is "partial small subunit ribosomal RNA". The record is from RNAcentral. Lineage: Eukaryota; Viridiplantae; Streptophyta; Magnoliopsida; Poales; Poaceae.